Molecule: long non-coding RNA, 1542 nt
Filed under: Chrysolophus pictus (golden pheasant)
Lineage: Eukaryota; Metazoa; Chordata; Aves; Galliformes; Phasianidae
Description: lncRNA (ENSCPIG00010010015.1)
Source: RNAcentral
GAUGGAAUGGUGUGCGUGGACAAAUAAAUGUAGUAGUAGUGCAAAGCUGUGUACUCAAACACUGCCUGUCAGGCCAAGAGACUUGGCAAAUCAAAGCUUCCUUGAGCAUGCAACUCUCCCUCUUCCUCUCUCAAAGGAAAGUUCCUUCUCAAAGAGCUCCUUCCCCAGACCCUGCAUUUCAAGGAUCACGAAGCAGGAAACAGACCAUCAUUUCAGGGGUGGAGAUAGAGCAAUCUACCUCCUUGCUGAAGCAAAUGAAACGGACUCUGGCACCUGAUUCUGCUCAGGCCCAUCUUACCAUAUUGCUUUGGGUAGUCCAAAAUGCACUGGUUUGAAUUCAGAUAUUUUGUCUCUAGACUUUUAUGCUUCUCAAGUUAUAGCAAAUACCUACAGCAUAGUGAGGAGCUGGACUACUUCACUCCUGUGGAGGGAAGGAUGUGAUGUGUGGUGGAAAACAGAAGGAUUUUUAUCACCACUAUUACAUUCGUAGCUCCUUCCUCUGUCCGUGAUUUCUUACAGCCUCCUCUCAGGAAGGCAGAUAUCCUCAUCACUACUGAACAGAGAGGUUGCAUCUAUCACCCACCCCAGGACAGAAAGAAAACAUGUGGUAGAGUCAGGAGUGGGUACUACCAGAUCUCCUGCAUCACUGGAGUAUCACCACACUUCCCUCCCUUGCCUGGGCCUGAUGAGCUGUAAGUGCCUUCUCAGGGUGAUGCCUCUUGCUGAUGAGCAGGGUAACUCUCCACAGAAGGUAUCCAAGUGCUGUCAAGAUCCGGACAACCUUCUCUGCAGAUUGCCAAAGAGUCCAGCAUUUCCUGUUUACAUUCUGUACAUACGCAUGAGGACACUCUGAAGUCACUCUACACUUAUAGUGUUGCAACUAAAGUAGAUUUGUUCUCAUGUAUUCUGAGAGGGCUUGUACUAAGUCUUUUUUCUGUGGUAUUUUUCCAGGCAUUUUCAUGAUCUUUCUUUCAUGGCAAUUGAAAUAACAAGAUCAGGCAAAAGAAAUCAAUGUAAUGUAUGAAUAGCAGUGUUUAUUUAAUGUAAUUCAAGGUAACAUUGCCAGAAGUUGUGUGCUUUUGAAAACAGUGAUGUGGAAGAAGUCUCCUUCCAUUUUGCUGGAUGGUACCCAGAUGAGCACCUCAGACCUUUCUGGGGGAAGUGACACAAAUAAGAUCACUCUGAUACAAGCAGCUGAAUUGGGUUCCAGUGCACAGCUGGUGGAGCUGAAAGCACAAAUGUGCCCAGUUUGUGAAAAUGAAGCUGAAGAAUGUCACCCUAAAGGAUGUUAUGGAAGAAUCAUUUGUGUGUUGCAGAUUCAAUUUCCAGCAAAUGUGCAAUAUCUGCAGUAAUCAGACAUUUCUUCAGAGGUAAAAUUGACUGGCAACUUAGCUUUGUUAUCCUGACAAGGAGAUACCAUGUUGUAUUUUUGCCUUCAGAAGGAAAAAGAACACAAGACUUAUCCAGUGCUUGCUUAAGCUAACAAAGUGACUGAAAAACCAGUGCAAGAAAUAAAUUGGAGUGUUGCAAUAGUGGCCUACA